Molecule: unclassified non-coding RNA, 253 nt
Filed under: uncultured Myxococcales bacterium
Lineage: Bacteria; Pseudomonadati; Myxococcota; Myxococcia; Myxococcales
Description: contains 16S-23S intergenic spacer region
Rfam family: Bacterial small subunit ribosomal RNA
Source: RNAcentral
GACAGAGGGUGCAAACGUUGCUCGGAAUUACUGGGCGUAAAGCGCGUGUAGGCGGGCACGAAAGUCGGGUGUGAAAUCCCUGAGCUCAACUCAGGAACUGCAUCCGAAACUCCGUGCCUUGAGUGCUGGAGAGGGUGGCGGAAUUCCCGGUGUAGAGGUGAAAUUCGUAGAUAUCGGGAGGAACACCAGUGGCGAAGGCGGCCACCUGGACAGUAACUGACGCUGAGACGCGAAAGCGUGGGGAGCAAACAGG